Molecule: ribosomal RNA, 583 nt
Filed under: Dendrobaena octaedra
Lineage: Eukaryota; Metazoa; Annelida; Clitellata; Crassiclitellata; Lumbricidae
Description: partial 16S ribosomal RNA
Source: RNAcentral
UCACAUGUCUAUCAUAUAAAUUAUAUAUUAAUAAAACAAUUAACACUUAUAAAAAUUAUUAAUUCCUAAGUACUAUAAAGGAAAUAAUAAACAAAUUAAAGUAAUGAUAAUAUCAUGUACCUUUUGCAUUAUGGUUUUACAAGCUAAAAAUUAAUAACUCUUUCCCGAAUUCUAAGAGAGCUGUCUUAUAAUUGCUGAGAGCCCACUACUAGUUGUAGCACCAACUUUAAAAAAUAAUAAGACAGAGGCUACAUACCACUCGCGCUAGAAAAUUGCUGGUUCUUGAUAAACCUUAUAUAUUAAAACAUGAAAUAAUAUUUCAAUGUAAAAUUUCAGAGGAUAAGCCCUGCAAUUAUACGCCAAUGACUAACAUUAAACAAAAUUAGGCCUAAAAUCAGCCAUAAAAACUACUUUACCGUAAUCUAUAUUUUAAUAAAUAAUUAAAUUGCUUCUUAAAAAUCAAGAAUUUACACAAAUCUUAUAUUUAAAUUUAUUAUGUAAAAAUAAGUAUUAAACUUUAAUAUCACUAAAUUGUAAACCUACUAUUUAUAAAGGAACUCAGCAAAUCUAAAUUUCGACUGUU